AAUCAACGCUGGCGGCGUGCCUCAGACAUGCAAGUCGAACGAUUAAAGCUCUCUUCGGAGAGUGUAUAGAGUGGCGCACGGGUGAGUAACACGUAAGUAAUCUACCCUCGAGUGGGGAAUAACAACCGGAAACGGUUGCUAAUACCGCAUAAUGCAGCGGCACCGCAAGGUGACAGUUGUUAAAGAUUUAUCGCUUGAGGAGGAGCUUGCGGCAGAUUAGCUAGUUGGUAGGGUAACGGCUUACCAAGGCUACGAUCUGUAACCGGUCUAAGAGGACGGUCGGUCACACUGACACUGAAUAACGGGUCAGACUCCUACGGGAGGCAGCAGUCGGGAAGUUUUGGGUCGAAUGGGCGGAAAGCCUGACCCAGCAACGCCGCGUGAAGGAUGAAGUAUUUCGGUAUGUAAACUUCGAAAGAAUAGGAAGAAUUAAUGACGGUACUAUUUAUAAGGUCCGGCUAACUACGUGCCAGCAGCCGCGGUAAAG
This 487-nucleotide ribosomal RNA is filed under the name uncultured bacterium. RNAcentral describes it as "bacterial SSU rRNA". It matches the Rfam family "Bacterial small subunit ribosomal RNA", at positions 32 to 525 of the family's 1533-position model. The record is from RNAcentral.